CUAUUUGCGCUUGGGGCAAUGACGCAGUUACUGAGGUGAAACCGAGACGCGUCAAUUGCUGGUUGAAAACUAUUUCCAAACUAUUUCCAUAUGGAUGAGGCUCUUAACGCAAUCAUGAUGAUGAAAGAGUUGAAAAAAGGUAUAAUAGAUUGACAUAUCAAGCAACAAGCCAUGGAAAAUAAAAUCUUUGGAAUAGAAAAUG
Molecule: small nuclear RNA, 202 nt
Organism: Marchantia polymorpha subsp. polymorpha
Lineage: Eukaryota; Viridiplantae; Streptophyta; Marchantiopsida; Marchantiales; Marchantiaceae
Rfam family: U4 spliceosomal RNA
About the family: U4 small nuclear RNA (U4 snRNA) is a component of the major U2-dependent spliceosome. The structure of U4 snRNA from yeast and human has been reported.
Source: Rfam